UUAAAGAGUUCUAUAACUCCCAAACCCAUGUGAACAUACCUAACGUUGCCUCGGCAGGUCGCACCUACCUUGUAGCACCCUACCCUGUAGGGCCUACCCGGGAGGUGCGGGUAAGCCUGCCGGCGGCCCACCAAACUCUGUUUGAUAUUGAAUUCUGAACCUAUAACUAAAUAAGUUAAAACUUUCAACAACGGAUCUCUUGGUUCUGGCAUCGAUGAAGAACGCAGCGAAAUGCGAUAAGUAAUGUGAAUUGCAGAAUUCAGUGAAUCAUCGAAUCUUUGAACGCAUAUUGCGCCCAUUAGUAUUCUAGUGGGCAGGACCGUUCGAGCGUCAUUUCAACCCUUAAGCCUUCGUUGCUUAGUGUUGGGAGCCUACGGCAACGUAGCUCCUCAAAGUUAGUGGCGGAGUUGGUUCACACUCUAGACGUAGUAAUUUUUUAUCUCGCCUAUUAGUUGGACUAAUCCCCUGCCGUAAAACCCCCAAUUUAUCAAGGUUGACCUCGAAUCGGUUCAGACAAACUCGCUAAAUUGAAGCAUCUUAGUCAGCGAAGGAAAAGAAACCAACAGGGAUUGCCCUAGUAACGGCGAGUGAAGCGGCAACAGCUCAAAUUUGAAAUCUGGCCCUCGGGUCCGAGUUGUAAUUUGUAGAGGAUGCUUUUGGCGCGGUGCCUUCCGAGUUCCCUGGAACGG
RNAcentral lists this ribosomal RNA (689 nucleotides) under fungal endophyte. RNAcentral describes it as "eukaryotic LSU rRNA". The stretch from base 180 to 333 matches the Rfam family "5.8S ribosomal RNA". The record is from RNAcentral. Lineage: Eukaryota; Fungi.